Molecule: ribosomal RNA, 117 nt
Organism: Carlito syrichta (Philippine tarsier)
Lineage: Eukaryota; Metazoa; Chordata; Mammalia; Primates; Tarsiidae
Source: Ensembl
GUCUAUGGCUAUACCACCCUGAACAUUCCUGAUCUUGUCUGAUCUUGGAAACUAAGCAGGGUUGGGCCUUGUUAAUACCUGGAUGGGAGACACUUAAUAUGAUGGGUUGUCGGGAUU